RNAcentral lists this ribosomal RNA (478 nucleotides) under uncultured bacterium. RNAcentral describes it as "bacterial SSU rRNA". It matches the Rfam family "Bacterial small subunit ribosomal RNA", at positions 20 to 518 of the family's 1533-position model. The record is from RNAcentral.
UGGCUCAGGACGAACGCUGGCGGCGUGCUUAACACAUGCAAGUCGAACGGGAGUAUUGAAGAAGCUGCUUUAGAGAUACUUUAGUGGCGGACGGGUGAGUAACGCGUGAGGAGCUGUCCUAUGCAGGGGGACAACAGCUGGAAACGGCUGCUAAUACCCCAUAAGCCGAGAGGUAAAAGGAUCAAUCCGGCAGAGGAGGUACUCGCGUCCUAUCAGCUAGUAGGUGAGGUAACGACUCACCUAGGCGAAGACGGGUAGCCGGCCUGAGGAGGGCGAACGGCCACACUGGAACUGAGAUACGGUCCAGACUCCGUACGGGAGGCAGCAGGUGGGGAAUAGUUGGGCAAUGGGGGAAACCCUGACCCAGCGACGCCGCGUGGGUGAAGAAAUCCUUCGGGAUGUAAAGCCCUGUUGUAUGGGAAGAGCGGAAGACGGUACCAUACGAGGAAGCCCCGGCAAACUACGUGCCAGCCGCCGC